Molecule: ribosomal RNA, 32 nt
Filed under: Dirofilaria immitis (dog heartworm nematode)
Lineage: Eukaryota; Metazoa; Nematoda; Chromadorea; Rhabditida; Onchocercidae
Also listed under: 1 other name
Description: partial 5.8S ribosomal RNA
Source: RNAcentral
UAACUCUUAGCGGUGGAUCACUUGGCUCGUGG